UACAGAGGGUGCGAGCGUUGUCCGGAAUCACUGGGCGUAAAGGGCGCGUAGGCGGUCUGGUAAGCGUGUGGUGAAAGCCCGGGGCUCAACCCCGGGUCGGCCAUGCGAACUGCGAGACUGGAGCCGAUCAGAGGCAGGCGGAAUUCCGGGUGUAGCGGUGGAAUGCGUAGAGAUCCGGAAGAACACCGGUGGCGAAGGCGGCCUGCUGGGAUCGAGCUGACGCUGAGGCGCGAAAGCUAGGGGAGCAAACAGG
This 253-nucleotide ribosomal RNA is filed under the name uncultured bacterium. RNAcentral describes it as "partial 16S ribosomal RNA". It matches the Rfam family "Bacterial small subunit ribosomal RNA", at positions 524 to 776 of the family's 1533-position model. The record is from RNAcentral.